AUUGAACGCUGGCGGCAUGCCUUACACAUGCAAGUCGAACGGCAGCACGGGAGCAAUCCUGGUGGCGCGUGGCGAACGGGUGAGUAAAGUAUCGGAACGUGCCCAGUCGUGGGGGAUAACGUAGCGAAAGUUACGCUAAUACCGCAUACGAUCUAUGGAUGAAAGCGGGGGAUCGCCAGACCUCGCGCGACUGGAGCGGCCGAUAUCAGAUUAGGUAGUUGGUGGGGUAAAGGCUCACCAAGCCGACGAUCUGUAGCUGGUCUGAGAGGACGACCAGCCACACUGGGACUGAGACACGGCCCAGACUCCUACGGGAGGCAGCAGUGGGGAAUUUUGGACAAUGGGCGAAAGCCUGAUCCAGCCAUGCCGCGUGCAGGAUGAAGGCCUUCGGGUUGUAAACUGCUUUUGUACGGAACGAAAAGGUUUGGCCUAAUAAGCUGAGCUCAUGACGGUACCGUAAGAAUAAGCACCGGCUAACUACGUGCCAGCCGCCGCAGUAA
RNAcentral lists this ribosomal RNA (500 nucleotides) under uncultured bacterium. RNAcentral's name for it is "partial 16S ribosomal RNA". It matches the Rfam family "Bacterial small subunit ribosomal RNA", at positions 30 to 523 of the family's 1533-position model. The record is from RNAcentral.